RNAcentral lists this ribosomal RNA (253 nucleotides) under uncultured bacterium. RNAcentral's name for it is "partial 16S ribosomal RNA". It matches the Rfam family "Bacterial small subunit ribosomal RNA", at positions 524 to 776 of the family's 1533-position model. The record is from RNAcentral.
UACAGAGGGUGCGAGCGUUAAUCGGAAUUACUGGGCGUAAAGCGUGCGUAGCCGGUUAUUUAAGUCGGGUGUGAAAUCCCCAGGCUUAACCUGGGAACUGCAUUCGAGACUGCAUUGCUAGAGUAUGGGAGAGGGAAGUGGAAUUUCCGGUGUAGCGGUGAAAUGCGUAGAUAUCGGAAGGAACAUCAGUGGCGAAAGCGACUUCCUGGACCAAUACUGACGCUCAUGUGCGAAAGCGUGGGGAGCAAACAGG